CAGUGAGGAAGGUGGGUAUGUUAAUAGCAUACUCAUUUGACGUUUAGCUGCAGAAGAAGCACCGGCUAACUCCGUGCCAGCAGCCGCGGUAAUACGGAGGGUGCGAGCGUUAAUCGGAAUUACUGGGCGUAAAAGCGCAUGCAGGUGGUUUGUUAAGUCAGAUGUGAAAGCCCGGGGCUCAACCUCGGAAUUGCAUUUGAAACUGGCAAACUAGAGUACUGUAGAGGGGGUAGAAUUUCAGGUGUAGCGGUGAAAUGCGUAGAGAUCUGAAGGAAUACCGGUGGCGAAGGCGGCCCCCUGGACAGAUACUGACACUCAGAUGCGAAAGCGUGGGGAGCAAACAGGAUUAGAUACCCUGGUAG
This 362-nucleotide ribosomal RNA is filed under the name uncultured bacterium. Its description in RNAcentral is "bacterial SSU rRNA". It matches the Rfam family "Bacterial small subunit ribosomal RNA", at positions 440 to 793 of the family's 1533-position model. The record is from RNAcentral.